AGGCAGGAGAAUCACUUGAACCCAGGAAGUGGAGGCUGCAGUGAGCCGUGAUUGUGCCACUGCCACAGCCUGGGUGACAGAGUAAGACGCCGACUCA
This 97-nucleotide microRNA precursor is filed under the name Carlito syrichta (Philippine tarsier). Its description in RNAcentral is "miRNA (ENSTSYG00000028823.1)". The record is from RNAcentral. Lineage: Eukaryota; Metazoa; Chordata; Mammalia; Primates; Tarsiidae.